GGAAUAUUCCACAAUGGGGGAAACCCUGAUGGAGCGACGCCGCGUGAGUGAAGAAGGGCUUCGGCUCGUAAAGCUCUUUUCUUCGGGACGAAUGGCUUAUUAGAUAAGCAGGGACGGUACCGGGGGAAUAAGCCACGGCUAACUACGUGCCAGCAGCCGCGGUAAUACGUAGGUGGCAAGCGUUGUCCGGAAUUAUUGGGCGUAAAGGGAGCGCAGGCGGGGCGGCAAGUCCAAAUUAAAAGUGCAGGAGUAAUGCCUGUGAUGGUUUGGAAACUGUCGUUCUUGAGAGCAGGAGAGGCAAGCGGAAUUCCCAGUGUAGCGGUGAAAUGCGUAGAUAUUGGGAGGAACACCAGUGGCGAAGGCGGCUUGCUGGACUGUGUCUGACGCUGAGGCUCGAAAGCCAGGGUAGCGAACG
This 415-nucleotide ribosomal RNA is filed under the name uncultured bacterium. RNAcentral describes it as "bacterial SSU rRNA". It matches the Rfam family "Bacterial small subunit ribosomal RNA", at positions 358 to 774 of the family's 1533-position model. The record is from RNAcentral.